CAGCAGCCGCGGUAAGACAGAAGAUGCAAGCGUUAUCCGGAAUGAUUGGGUGUAAUGCGUCUGUGGGUGGCUUUUCAAGUCCACCGUCAAAUCCCAGGGCUCAACCCUGGACAGGCGGUGGAAACUACCAAGCUAGAGUACGGUAGGGGCAGAGGGAAUUUCCGGUGGAGCAGUGAAAUGCGUUGAGAUUGGAAAGAACACCAACGGCGAAAGCACUCUGCUGGGCCGACACUGACACUGAGAGACGAAAGCUAGGGGAGCAAAUGGGAUUAGAUACCCCAGUAGUCCCUGUCUCUUAUAC
RNAcentral lists this ribosomal RNA (301 nucleotides) under uncultured bacterium. RNAcentral's name for it is "partial 16S ribosomal RNA". It matches the Rfam family "Bacterial small subunit ribosomal RNA", at positions 509 to 807 of the family's 1533-position model. The record is from RNAcentral.